Chlorocebus sabaeus (green monkey) is the source of this 1376-nucleotide non-coding RNA. NCBI's taxonomy places the organism in Eukaryota, Metazoa, Chordata, Mammalia, Primates, Cercopithecidae. The record is from RefSeq and is a predicted model, not a curated record.
UCAGAGUCUCCUCAGACGCCGAGGGUCAUGGUGCCCCGAACCCUCCUCCUGCUGCUCUCGGGGGCCCUGGCCCUGACCGAGACCUGGGCCGGCUCGCACUCCAUGAGGUAUUUCAGCACCUCCGUGUCCCAGCCCGGCCGCGGGGAGCCCCGCUUCAUCUCCGUGGGCUACGUGGACGACACGCAGUUCGUGCGGUUCGACAGCGACGCCGAGAGUCCGAGGAUGGAGCCGCGGGCGCCGUGGGUGGAGCAGGAGGGGCCGGAGUAUUGGGACCGGGAAACGCGGAACGCCCAGGGCCACGCACAGACUCACCGAGAGAACCCGCGGACCCUGCUCCGCUACUACAACCCAGGUCACGACCCCUCCCCAUCCCCUAACGGACGGCCCGGGUGGCCCCGAGUCUCUGGGUCCGAGAUCCGCCCCGAGGCCGCGCGACCCGCCCAGACCCUUGACCGGAGAGAGCCCCAGGCGCCUUUACCCGGUUUUAUUUUCAGCUGAGGCCGAAGUCCCAGCGGGUUGGUCGGGGCGGGGCUCGGUGGGCGGGGCUGACCGCGGGGGCGGGGCCAGGGUCUCACACCAUCCAGAGGGUGUUUGGCUGCGACCUGGGGCCUGACGGGCGCCUCCUCCGCGGAUAUAACCAGCACGCCUACGACGGCAAGGAUUACAUCGCCCUGAACGAGGACCUGCGCUCCUGGACCGCAGCGGACACUGCGGCUCAGAACACCCAGCGCAAGUGGGAGGCGUGCGGUGAGGCGGAGGAGUGGAGAGCCUACCUGGAGGGCGAGUGCCUGGAGUGGCUCCGCAGACACCUGGAGAACGGGAAGGAGACGCUGCAGCGUGCGGAUCCCCCAAAGACACACGUGACCCACCACCCCGUCUCUGACCAUGAGGCCACCCUGAGGUGCUGGGCCCUGGGCUUCUACCCUGCGGAGAUCACACUGAUGUGGCAGCAGGAUGGGGAGGACCAAACUGAAGACACCCAGCUUGUGGAGACCAGGCCUGCAGGGGAUGGAACCUUCCAGAAGUGGGCAGCUGUGGUGGUGUCUUCUGGAGAAGAGCAGAGAUACACGUGCCAUGUGCAGCACAAGGGGCUGCUGGAGCCCCUCACCCUGAGAUGGGAGCCAUCUUCCCAGUCCACCAUCCCCAUCGUGGGCAUUGUUGCUGGCCUGGCUGUCCUAACCUUUUUGGUCACUGGAGCUGUGGUCGCUGCUGUGUUGUGGAGGAGGAAGAGCUCAGGUAGGGAAGGGGUGAGGGGUGGAGUCUGGGUUUUCUUGUCCCACUGGGGGUUUCAAGCCCCAGGUAGAAGCGUCCUCCGCCUCAUUAGUGAAGGGGUGGCCUAUUCCAGCAUUCAUGAGUCAGGGGAAGGUCCCUGCUAA